This 239-nucleotide ribosomal RNA is filed under the name uncultured bacterium. RNAcentral's name for it is "partial 16S ribosomal RNA". It matches the Rfam family "Bacterial small subunit ribosomal RNA", at positions 115 to 353 of the family's 1533-position model. The record is from RNAcentral.
GCGUGGGUAACCUGCCUCACACUGGGGAUAACAGUUAGAAAUGACUGCUAAUACCGCAUAAGCGCACAGUGCUGCAUGGCACAGUGUGAAAAACUCCGGUGGUAUGAGAUGGACCCGCGUCUGAUUAGCUAGUUGGUGGGGUAACGGCCUACCAAGGCGACGAUCAGUAGCCGGCCUGAGAGGGUGAACGGCCACAUUGGGACUGAGACACGGCCCAAACUCCUACGGGAGGCAGCAUG